This is a non-coding RNA of Arachnomyces sp. PD_36, 115 nucleotides long. The record is from the annotation of a GenBank genome assembly. NCBI's taxonomy places the organism in Eukaryota, Fungi, Ascomycota, Eurotiomycetes, Onygenales, Arachnomycetaceae.
GCGCCAGUAGUGUAGCGGUUAUCAUUGUUGCCUUCCACGAUCAUUUAGCCAAUAGAAAUUGGUUAUUUGCUUACGUAAUCAGCAUCAGACCUGGGUUCGACUCCCGGCUGGCGCA